ACUGAGAUGAACUUCGCUGCGAAAUCGACAGCUCCAAAGACCAGCUGGAUCAAGAAGAUAUUGACACCGAAAUUCUGCAGGUCCAUGGCCAACCCAUAAUAGGCAAAGCUGGUGGAGAACCUGGGAUGAAGCAGACAGGUGGGAUUUACCGAAGUCUAGCUACAACAUACUGAAUUGUGAUCUAGUGGGAUAUUCAAUCAAGGUGAAAUUGACUGUCACUGACAUGCCAUGGGAUGAAGUGGAGCGUCAGUGCGGCUUAGUAGAGGUCAAAAAAUCCAUAAUUUGCCCUGUUCCUCAGCAAAUUGUCGUGCCUGGUUUACUUGCUGCCGGUCUACUUAUCAUAAUCUCAGCUUCCUCUUUCUGUGAACACAAGAGCCGACUAACCAUACAAAGCAGAGGC
Long non-coding RNA from Chrysemys picta bellii (western painted turtle), 400 nucleotides. RefSeq lists it as uncharacterized. The record is from RefSeq and is a predicted model, not a curated record. Lineage: Eukaryota; Metazoa; Chordata; Testudines; Emydidae.